RNAcentral lists this ribosomal RNA (258 nucleotides) under uncultured bacterium. Its description in RNAcentral is "partial 16S ribosomal RNA". It matches the Rfam family "Bacterial small subunit ribosomal RNA", at positions 76 to 334 of the family's 1533-position model. The record is from RNAcentral.
CUUGCUAAGGCUGAUGGCGACCGGCGCACGGGUGAGUAACACGUAUCCAACCUGCCGAUAACUCGGGGAUAGCCUUUCGAAAGAAAGAUUAAUAUCCGAUGGUAUAUUAAAACCGCAUGGUUUUACUAUUAAAGAAUUUCGGUUAUCGAUGGGGAUGCGUUCCAUUAGUUUGUUGGCGGGGUAACGGCCCACCAAGACUACGAUGGAUAGGGGUUCUGAGAGGAAGGUCCCCCACAUUGGAACUGAGACACGGUCCAA